RNAcentral lists this long non-coding RNA (462 nucleotides) under Fukomys damarensis (Damara mole-rat). Its description in RNAcentral is "lncRNA (ENSFDAG00000032218.1)". Lineage: Eukaryota; Metazoa; Chordata; Mammalia; Rodentia; Bathyergidae. The record is from RNAcentral.
AUGCAGGAGCAGAGGGGAUUCGCUCAGAGGUUAAUGUCUACACCACGGAGGAGAACGUCUGUACCAUUGAGGAGAACUUCUAUACCACGGAGGAGAAUGUCUACACCACGGAGGAGAACAUCAUCUACGUCAUCUACGAAAUGCAGGAUCCAAUGUUCUGAUGCAGAGGUGUGGCACAGAGAUAAGGCGUGGAACUCUGGGAGAAGGCAUCUCUGUCCAUAAAACAGCUUUGGAGAGAGGGUCAGCAAUGAGCAGAUCUGGAGGAGCAGAGGCUGCCAUCGAGAAGCCGAGGAACUAGCUCCUACCUCACCGGUGAGUCCAGUUGUCUGCCGACUCAGGCCGGGUUGGGAACCUAGCCCUGCUGUCUGCCCUGGGUGUCAAUGAGCAGGAUGAUGUUUGAUCGCAGCAAUGAGGGGAGGUCCACAUAAGCAGUUCCUUGGGUCUGUCGUUGUUUAAAUGGAG